Molecule: long non-coding RNA, 230 nt
Filed under: Hordeum vulgare
Lineage: Eukaryota; Viridiplantae; Streptophyta; Magnoliopsida; Poales; Poaceae
Description: long non-coding RNA (HVUL_LNC019855)
Source: RNAcentral
GAUACUCCACGGUAACUGCGCCAGAAAUCCUUCAUGAUACUUGUGAUCUGCAUUGGGUUUUCUGUGAAGAGGAAUGGGUGAUGCAGCAUGGUAUGGAUAAGUAUUUCCUAUAGUAGAGAACCAAGGUUUAUCGAACCAACAGGAGUAACAACCAACCCCCGUCUUCAGCGACUGCACACAAAGAAGAAAACACUCGCACCCAACACGGGCAAGAGGGUUGUCAAUCCCCU